This 446-nucleotide ribosomal RNA is filed under the name uncultured bacterium. RNAcentral's name for it is "bacterial SSU rRNA". It matches the Rfam family "Bacterial small subunit ribosomal RNA", at positions 28 to 490 of the family's 1533-position model. The record is from RNAcentral.
GACGAACGCUGGCGGCGUGCUUAACACAUGCAAGUCGAACGGUGACCCAGGGCUUGCCCUGGUGAUCAGUGGCGAACGGGUGAGUAACACGUGGGCAACCUGCCCCUGACUUCGGGAUAACUCCUCGAAAGAGGAGCUAAUACCGGAUACGACCACUUCGGACAUCCGAUGGUGGUGGAAAGUUUUUCGGUCAGGGAUGGGCCCGCGGCCUAUCAGCUAGUUGGUGGGGUAAUGGCCUACCAAGGCGACGACGGGUAGCCGGCCUGAGAGGGCGACCGGCCACACUGGGACUGAGACACGGCCCAGACUCCUACGGGAGGCAGCAGUGGGGAAUAUUGCGCAAUGGGCGAAAGCCUGACGCAGCGACGCCGCGUGAGGGAUGAAGGCCUCGGGUUGUAACCUCUUCAGCAGGGACGAAGCGAAAGUGACGGUACCUGCAGAAGAAG